AGAAUGAACGCUGGCGGCAUGGCUAAGACAUGCAAGUCGAACGGACCAUAUAAUUGGGUAACCGAAAGUAUGGUUAGUGGCGAAAGGGUGAGGAAUAGAUAGGAACGUACCCUGUGCUCUGGGAUAGCGUCUGAAGCUUCGGCUUCUUCCGAAAGGGGCGGUAAUACCAGAUAAUGUCCUUCGGGACUAAAGAUUUAUCGGCAUUGGAGCGGCCUAUCUCCUAUCAGCUUGUUGGUGAGGUAACGGCUCACCAAGGCAACGACGGGUAGCGGGACUGAGAGGUUGGCCCGCCACAUCGGGACUGAGACACUGCCCGGACCUCCACGGAGGGCUGCAGUAACGGAUAUUGGGCAAUGGGCGAAAGCCUGACCCAGCAAUGCCGCGUGCAGAUGAACCCCUAGGGUGUAAACUGCUGUCAGGGGUCAAAAGCUGGUUUCGGCAUUGAUCAACCCCAAGAAGUCACGCUAACUUCGUGCCAGCAGCCGCGGUAAUACGAAGGUGGCAAGCGUUAUUCGGAAUCAUUGGGCUUAAAGGGCACGCAGGCGGAACAGUGUGUGUUGUGUGAAAUCCCCCGGCUUAACCGGGGAAUUGCACAGCAAACUGCUGUUCUUGAGGCAGGUAGGGGUGCAUGGAACUCUUGGUGGAGCGGUGGAAUGCGUAGAUAUCAAGAGGAACGCCAGAGGUGAAGACGGUGCACUGGGCCUGUCCUGACGCUGAGGUGCGAAAGCGUGGGGAGCGAACGGGAUUAGAUACCCCGGUAGUCCACGCCGUAAACGAUGUCUACUAGGUCGUGGGUGUUCUGACACAUUCACGGCCGGAGCAAAAGUGUUUAGUAGACCGCCUGGGGAGUACGGCCGCAAGGUUAAAACUCAAAUGAAUUGACGGGGGCUCACACAAGCGGUGGAGCAUGUGGAUUAAUUCGAAGCAACGCGCAGAACCUUACCUGGGUUUGACAUGCUUGUAUGCCUUCUCUGAAAGGAGUUAGGCUGCCUUCGGGUGAAACUUGCACAGGUGCUGCAUGGCUGUCGUCAGCUCGUGUCGUGAGAUGUCGGGUUAAGUCCUUUAACGAGCGAAACCCUUGCCGUUAGUUGCCAGCGAGUAAUGUCGGGGACUCUAACGGGACUGCCGGUGUUAAACCGGAGGAAGGUGGGGAUGACGUCAAGUCCUCAUGGCCUUUAUGCCCAGGGCUUCACACGUGCUACAAUGGCAAUUACAGAGCGACGCGAUACCGCGAGGUGGAGCAAAUCGCAAAAAAAAUUGCCUCAGUUCGGAUUGCAGGCUGGCAAUUCGCCUGCAUGAAGUCGGAAUCGCUAGUAAUCGCGUAUCAGCAAUGACGCGGUGAAUGUGUUCCUGAGCCUUGUACACACCGCCCGUCAAGUGAUGGAAGCCGGGAGUACCCGAAGUCGGGUUGCUAACC
This 1417-nucleotide ribosomal RNA is filed under the name uncultured organism. RNAcentral describes it as "bacterial SSU rRNA". It matches the Rfam family "Bacterial small subunit ribosomal RNA". The record is from RNAcentral.